Molecule: ribosomal RNA, 454 nt
Filed under: uncultured Peptostreptococcus sp.
Lineage: Bacteria; Bacillati; Bacillota; Clostridia; Peptostreptococcales; Peptostreptococcaceae
Description: bacterial SSU rRNA
Rfam family: Bacterial small subunit ribosomal RNA
Source: RNAcentral
GCGGCCUCGGGAGGCGGCCUUAGGGCAUCUUGCGCAAUCGACGAAAGUUUUCGGCAAUGGCCCGCGAGUCUGAAACAGCUUUUCGGAUCGUAAAACUCAGUUUUUCAGAAGGAAAAGGAUUUACAGUAAGGGGAGAAAAAAAUGACGGUAUUAACACAAAAAAGUCACGGCUAAAUACGUGCCAGCAGCCGCGGUAAUACGUAAGGUGCCGAGCGUUGUUCCGGAUUUAUUUGGCGUAAAGCGCGUCCAGGCUGGUCUUUUAAGUCUGGUGGGAAAAACGCAGGGCUCACCGCGGUGUGUCAUUGGAAAACUGGAGAACUUGAGUGCAGAAGAGGAGAGUGGAAUUCCACGUGUAGCGGUGAAAUGCGUAGAUAUGUGGAGGAACACCAGUGGCGAAGGCAACUCUCUGGUCAGAUACUGACGCUGAGGCUCGAAAGCGUGGGUAGCAAACAGG